This is a long non-coding RNA of Corythoichthys intestinalis (scribbled pipefish), 621 nucleotides long. RefSeq lists it as uncharacterized. The transcript has 3 exons. The record is from RefSeq and is a predicted model, not a curated record. Lineage: Eukaryota; Metazoa; Chordata; Actinopteri; Syngnathiformes; Syngnathidae.
GCGUCAACCUCGUACCAGCCCCUUUUUUCUUCUCGCGUGGCAGUUGCUACUUGUGUCGCGUAUAGCCUUGUUAGACUUUGAGUCGGAGCUGCGGGUUCGCCCUCCUAAGGCUGCGUCACUCUAUUGGCAAUCGGGAAGUCUUGGGCUUUCUUCUUGUUUCGUUUUCCGGACUUGGGACUACUGCCGACCCGCGCCGGUGACGGCUUCGUGCGCGACCCCUCUCCCGGCCGGCGGCGUCUGUGUUGGAUGGGUGAGCCUGGGAUCAGGUGCCGCUGAUCAUCGUCAGCACCUUACUUAAACCUGUCCUUAGCCUCACGUCAUCACAAAAUCAAGUCACCUACAGAUCCUGUACUGCUUGCCUGGCAAAACGCCUGCCUGCCUGUUCACCUGUUCUAUCACCAAACUGCCCACUGGAUUCUUUGGACACUAUCUAAGGCUCCCUCUCAUCGUCAAUGAAUUACCCCAGAACCUUAACGAAUACUGUAUGUUGUUUACAGUCUAAAAAUAGGUCAUCUUUAAUGUUGAGUUGCUCGUUCCAAUUAAAAUAUGAUGUGGAAAAAAAAAAACAAUGUUAUAUUGUUACGUUGUUGUAUGUUGCAUUAAUAUGUUAGCAUUAAUAAA